Small nucleolar RNA from Medicago truncatula (barrel medic), 83 nucleotides. NCBI's taxonomy places the organism in Eukaryota, Viridiplantae, Streptophyta, Magnoliopsida, Fabales, Fabaceae. The record is from Rfam.
GAGCAGAUGAUGAAUAAAAUAAUAAUUACCGAUUGGUUAUUCCAUGAAGCAAUUUUAAUCGAGCUUUUUAAAACUGAUGCUCA